This 315-nucleotide long non-coding RNA is filed under the name Elaeis guineensis (African oil palm). RNAcentral's name for it is "long non-coding RNA (EGUI_LNC007664)". Lineage: Eukaryota; Viridiplantae; Streptophyta; Magnoliopsida; Arecales; Arecaceae. The record is from RNAcentral.
CAUGUCUCUAUAGCUGCUCUGCCUAAUGCUCUACUGGCUUUACCUAUAUUUGCUCUAUCAGUUUCUCACACUCGACACUUGCCAAACUCCUUUCAACUGCUGCCUGAGCUCUCUCUCUCUGCUCUUCACCAUUCUAUUGCCUACAAGGCUCUUUAAAAUCCUAAAUCCAAGUCACGCUCGAUAACAGAGCUUUAACAUGAUACAAAAACCUCCUUGGACCAUCUGAUCUUGACAGCAAGCAUCUCCAGCCAUCAGAUCGUGCAAACAAAGUCUCAGAUCAUACCCGCUUGCUUUCCAGCCAUCAAAUUAGGACCC